CUAAAUGAUACCAAGAUUGUGUGAGUU
This 27-nucleotide non-coding RNA is filed under the name Cricetulus griseus (Chinese hamster). Lineage: Eukaryota; Metazoa; Chordata; Mammalia; Rodentia; Cricetidae. The record is from RNAcentral.